GACGAACGCUGGCGGCGUGCUUAACACAUGCAAGUCGAACGGAAAGGCCCUGCUUUUGUGGGGUGCUCGAGUGGCGAACGGGUGAGUAACACGUGAGUAACCUGCCCUUGACUUUGGGAUAACUUCAGGAAACUGGGGCUAAUACCGGAUAGGAGCUCCUGCUGCAUGGUGGGGGUUGGAAAGUUUCGGCGGUUGGGGAUGGACUCGCGGCUUAUCAGCUUGUUGGUGGGGUAGUGGCUUACCAAGGCUUUGACGGGUAGCCGGCCUGAGAGGGUGACCGGCCACAUUGGGACUGAGAUACGGCCCAGACGCCUACGGGAGGCAGCAGGGGGGAAUAUUGCACAAUGGGCGGAAGCCUGACGCAGCAACGCCGCGUGCGGGAGGACGGCCUUCGGGUUGUAAACCGCUUUCGCCUGUGAUGAAGCGUGAGUGACGGUAAUGGGUAAAGAAGCACCGGCUAACUACGUGC
This 469-nucleotide ribosomal RNA is filed under the name uncultured bacterium. RNAcentral's name for it is "partial 16S ribosomal RNA". It matches the Rfam family "Bacterial small subunit ribosomal RNA", at positions 28 to 508 of the family's 1533-position model. The record is from RNAcentral.